AACUCUCUAAUUGGCUUGUUUGCAUUUAUUCAUUUCAGACACUUACAAACAGCACAAAUGGUGGAAAGGAAAUUAGACUAAAAACAGUCCUUUAUAUAAGGACAGUAUAUUAAAUUGAUUUUUAAAAUUAGGGGCUGGACUAGGAGCUUGCUCUGUCUACCCCACGCAUUGACCUGGUAUUGCAGUGUUUCCAGGAAUGGUGCAUCACUU
This 210-nucleotide small nuclear RNA is filed under the name Chelydra serpentina (North American snapping turtle). RNAcentral describes it as "U2 spliceosomal RNA (ENSCSRG00000011471.1)". It matches the Rfam family "U2 spliceosomal RNA". Rfam says of the family: U2 is a small nuclear RNA (snRNA) component of the spliceosome (involved in pre-mRNA splicing). Complementary binding between U2 snRNA (in an area lying towards the 5' end but 3' to hairpin I) and the branchpoint sequence (BPS) of the intron results the bulging out of an unpaired adenosine, on the BPS, which initiates a nucleophilic attack at the intronic 5' splice site, thus starting the first of two transesterification reactions that mediate splicing. Lineage: Eukaryota; Metazoa; Chordata; Testudines; Chelydridae. The record is from RNAcentral.